RNAcentral lists this ribosomal RNA (535 nucleotides) under Staphylococcus aureus. Its description in RNAcentral is "partial 23S ribosomal RNA". It matches the Rfam family "Bacterial large subunit ribosomal RNA", at positions 946 to 1484 of the family's 2925-position model. The record is from RNAcentral. Lineage: Bacteria; Bacillati; Bacillota; Bacilli; Caryophanales; Staphylococcaceae.
CAGACAAACUCCGAAUGCCAAUUAAUUUAACUUGGGAGUCAGAACAUGGGUGAUAAGGUCCGUGUUCGAAAGGGAAACAGCCCAGACCACCAGCUAAGGUCCCAAAAUAUAUGUUAAGUGGAAAAGGAUGUGGCGUUGCCCAGACAACUAGGAUGUUGGCUUAGAAGCAGCCAUCAUUUAAAGAGUGCGUAAUAGCUCACUAGUCGAGUGACACUGCGCCGAAAAUGUACCGGGGCUAAACAUAUUACCGAAGCUGUGGAUUGUCCUUUGGACAAUGGUAGGAGAGCGUUCUAAGGGCGUUGAAGCAUGAUCGUAAGGACAUGUGGAGCGCUUAGAAGUGAGAAUGCCGGUGUGAGUAGCGAAAGACGGGUGAGAAUCCCGUCCACCGAUUGACUAAGGUUUCCAGAGGAAGGCUCGUCCGCUCUGGGUUAGUCGGGUCCUAAGCUGAGGCCGACAGGCGUAGGCGAUGGAUAACAGGUUGAUAUUCCUGUACCACCUAUAAUCGUUUUAAUCGAUGGGGGGACGCAGUAGGAUA